GAGUUUGAUCAUGGCUCAGGAUGAACGCUGGCGGCGUGCCUAAUACAUGCAAGUCGAGCGAACGGACGAGAAGCUUGCUUCUCUGAUGUUAGCGGCGGACGGGUGAGUAACACGUGGAUAACCUACCUAUAAGACUGGGAUAACUUCGGGAAACCGGAGCUAAUACCGGAUGAUAUUUUGAACCGCAUGGUUCAAAAGUGAAAGACGGUCUUGCUGUCACUUAUAGAUGGAUCCGCGCUGCAUUAGCUAGUUGGUAGGUAACGGCUUACCAAGGCAACGAUGCAUAGCCGACCUGAGAGGGUGAUCGGCCACACUGGAACUGAGACACGGUCCAGACUCCUACGGGAGC
RNAcentral lists this ribosomal RNA (349 nucleotides) under uncultured microorganism. RNAcentral describes it as "bacterial SSU rRNA". It matches the Rfam family "Bacterial small subunit ribosomal RNA", at positions 9 to 348 of the family's 1533-position model. The record is from RNAcentral.